AGGGGUAUUUGCAAGAAAUGUCUUGCAAGUGUCAAGAACACACAUUUCGAAGGUGUUGUAAAUUGUUCUUGAAAAGUUCAAAACAGUUGGUUCUUUUACUUGAAUGCUUGAUUCCGUAUUAGUAACUAUGUUUUACAAUCGUUGUAAAAGUGUGGCUAAUAAAAAGUAGAAGAUUAAGGAGAGAAGAGAAAGUACUUCACAUUCGGAACGUGAAUCAAAUGUAGAUCUUUACGAAAGCAGAUGGUACUUACUUCCUCAUAUGAACUACCAAAGAAAUUGGAAAAACCAUAGAUUGUCUUUACAUUCCAAUUUUAAGGAACUUAAUUCCAUCACUAUAAGGGAUGGAUGAAUGUUUUGUUUGACAAAACAUUGUUCUUUAUUAAUGAAUGAUUAGAUUAUUGUAAUCUAAUUGAUUGUCUCUAUAGUAGAGAUGAUAUGGUAGUGUUAACUGUUUAGAAAAUAACGAUGCUUAAAACCCAAAAGGUUGCAAGAUAGUGACUAAUCCCAACUGAGUUGUGAUACCUCUAAAACAUAAAUUACGAGUUGGUCAUAGAUGGAUGCUUUGGAUCAUUAGAUCCGGAUCCAAUACCUUCUUAUUAAAAUUGUAUAGAGGUGAAAUGUUCGAAUCUUUAUUCUUUUGGAAAGGAAGAAAGAAUCACAAAGUUGUUGAGGUUAAUUCACUUAGAUGUUAGUGGCACUUGUCCACAACAUAAUACUACUCAUGUUGUAUGACAUUCACCGAAGAUCGCUCUCGGUUAGACUAUCAUUUAUUUUGAAUAAACACAAGUCCGAAUACUUUGCAGAAGGUUUCAAAGAAUUCAAGAAAUGUAAGUUGAUGAGUAAGAUGUCUAAAGUAUUUACCUCCUUAGAUUUGAUCCAAGGAAAGGUAAACACUUUAGAACAGUUUCCUUGAAAGAUAUCAAGGAAAGAAGCAUCAUAUGAUAAUGGAUUUCUCCAUUAAGAGAAGAACGAACUCGAAAUAAGAUUUAGUUCGUUGGAUGUUAUCAAUUGCCCAUAUAUAGGAUAUAUACUUCUAAGACAAUAUGAUUGUCAAUUAGAAGAUCUUCCAAAAUUUUCAUAACCCCAUAGGAUAUAGUUGGAAAGAAAGACAAAUCUUAAUCAUGUUAAGAUUUGGGGUUGUGUGCUAAUAAGCAAUAUUUGUUUAAAGAAUUAUCUUGUGGGUAUCCUUAAAUUAACAUUUCGAUAUCACUUCUAUAAACCAACUAACAAAUGUUGUUUGUUGGGUAGUUCAUUGUAAUCAUACAAUAUGAUUUGCCUAACGCAAAUGAACGAGAGAUAGAACUCAAAGAAUGGGUUCUUUGAGAGACAAGAUGAUAAUCAACAAAUAUAACAACCUAGUUCCUAUGACACAAGCUCCCAGGUAGUCGAGAAGGAUUAUAAACUGUCUCAGUUGAAUGGUUUGAACUUUAUGACUAUGUCAUAGAGUUACACCUCUUAAUUCGAAAAAAAAUAAGAAUGAAAAUCCUUAUGACUACGUUAAGUGUAUAUACGACAUAUACUCAAGGAAAUCGUAAAGUACCAUUUGACCCGAAAUAAUGAAACCUUUAUAGCUAAUUGGUAGCUUAAGGUGACUACAACUAAAGAGAUUGGUUGACUUGGAAGAAACCAUCUUUGACGUAGUCUUGGUUUCAAUUAAUUCGAAGAUUGCUAGCUACAACUAAAUGGUGAUUCAAUGUUUGGACAUAAUAUGGGUUUCCGAAACCAUUAUUAAGAUAGUCUUGAUAAUAUAUGUCUAAAACUAUGAAUCACAAGACAUGUAAGUUGUAGAGAUCCAUCCAUCAUGGAUCUUAGCAAGCUAAUGGGAGCUAUAAAUGUCUUAUGAGAGAAAGAUCAAAUCGUUGAUUUCUCAUAAAGAUGUAAAUGAAUCCUUUGUUUACUACGUUUACAAAAGAUUAGUGGGAGUUAAUCAUGUUCCUAAAAUUGAAUAUAUAUAUACAAAUAUAUGAUAUAUUAAUUUUGGAAAUGAAAAAGAAUACUUCUUCGUUAAAGUUAUGACUUUAAACAUUCUAUAACGAUAGAAUGUAUAUGGGAGACAUAGUCUAUAAACAUGGGAUGUAAAUCUAUAAUGAUAGAUUUCAGGAUAUAAUUGGAUUAUAUCAAGCCCUAAUGAUAGAUUCCUCAAAGAAUGAGGAAGAAUUAGAAUAACGUAAUGGAAGCGUAAAUGUAUUAGAUUAUGAAUCUAAUCCAUCAUUGAAUGUUUCUUCAUUAUGAAUGAAGAGAUAAUCAGAUAUCUCUUUAUUAUAACUAAAGAGAUAUUUGGAUGGAAACAUUAAAAGUAAUGACUUUAGUGUGUUCCAUUGUGAAUGCAAAAUAUAUUGCCAUAUAGAAGCUUACAACAAUGUUGUUUGGAUGAGAAAGUUCAUUCAUGAACUCUCUAUUCGGUUCCAACCGGAAAAUGUCUAUAGUGUACCGACACUACGACACUAAUGGGGCGAUAGCUCAAGCUAGGGAAUCAAGGUCUCAUCAAGAUCUGAACUCAAAUGAGAGACUGAACCACAUGAUUGAGAAUCAUGUAUAAUGGUGACGUCGUUAUUCUCAAGGUUGCUUCUAUGGAUAACAUAUAGAUAUCCAUUGUCUAGACCUACUACUUAGCCAUUUUUGAAAUGACUAAAGAAGAGGUAUCAUCACUGAUGACCAAGCUGAUUGGCUCUAGUGCAAGUGGGAGAUUGUUGGAAAUGUGCCCUAAAACCAAUCAUGUGAUGAUACUUUACGGACAUUUCACAUGUUAAACUAAUCUAGUUUAAUAUCAAAGGCAAAGAUUAUUGUUUUAAGCCGUCUCAUAUAAAUGUUAUAUGCUUAAACGAUA
RNAcentral lists this long non-coding RNA (2827 nucleotides) under Malus domestica (apple). Its description in RNAcentral is "long non-coding RNA (MDOM_LNC021049)". Lineage: Eukaryota; Viridiplantae; Streptophyta; Magnoliopsida; Rosales; Rosaceae. The record is from RNAcentral.